GUGAGUCAUCGAAUCUUUGAACGCACAUUGCGCCCGCCAGUAUUCUGGCGGGCAUGCCUGUCCGAGCGUCAUUUCAACCCUCAUGCCCCCAGUGCAUGGCGUUGGGGAUCGGCGUGGCGUCCUCCGGGACGCUGCCGGCCCCGAAAUUCAGUGGCGGUCUCGCUGUAGCCCUCCUCCGCGUAGUAGCACAACCUCGCGGCCUGGAGCUCGGCGGUGGCCAUGCCGUAAAACACCCCACUUCUGAAAGUUGACCUCGGAUCAGGUAGGAAUACCCGCUGAACUUAAGCAUAUCAAUAAGCGGAGGA
Molecule: unclassified non-coding RNA, 305 nt
Filed under: Myxospora sp.
Lineage: Eukaryota; Fungi; Ascomycota; Sordariomycetes; Hypocreales; Stachybotryaceae
Description: partial contains 5.8S ribosomal RNA, internal transcribed spacer 2, and large subunit ribosomal RNA
Rfam family: 5.8S ribosomal RNA (bases 1-71)
Source: RNAcentral